This 622-nucleotide ribosomal RNA is filed under the name Rhizopus delemar. Its description in RNAcentral is "partial large subunit ribosomal RNA". It matches the Rfam family "Eukaryotic large subunit ribosomal RNA", at positions 75 to 632 of the family's 3401-position model. The record is from RNAcentral. Lineage: Eukaryota; Fungi; Mucoromycota; Mucoromycetes; Mucorales; Rhizopodaceae.
UUCCUAGUACGGCGAGUGAGAGGAAGAGCUCAAAGUUGGAACCUGUUUGGCCUAGCUAAACCNNNNNNNNNNNNNNAGAAGUGUUUUCCAGGCAAGCCGAGUAAAUAAGUCCUUUGGAACAGGGCAUCAUAGAGGGUGAGAAUCCCGUCUUUGGCUUGAGCAUUUGCCUUUUGUGAUACGCUUUCAAAGAGUCAGGUUGUUUGGGAAUGCAGCCUAAAUUGGGUGGUAAAUCUCACCUAAAGCUAAAUAUUGGCGAGAAACCGAUAGCGAACAAGUACCGUGAGGGAAAGAUGAAAAGAACUUUGAAAAGAGAGUUAAACAGUAUGUGAAAUUGUUAAAAGGGAACCGUUUGGAGCCAGACUGGCUUGUCUGUAAUCAAUCUAGGCUUCGGCCUGGAUGCACUUGCAGGCUAUGCCUGCCAACGACAAUUUGACUUGAGGGAAAAAACUAAGGGAAAUGUGGCCCACUUGUGGGUGUUAUAGUCCCUUAGAAAAUACCUUGGGUUGGAUUGAGGAACGCAGCGAAUGCUUUUUGGCGAGUUUUCCAGGAAGGUUUUCUGAGGUACUACGGUAUCAAGGUUGAUCUUUUUGGUUAUACUUCUAUUCGCUUAGGUUGUUGGCUU